This 383-nucleotide ribosomal RNA is filed under the name uncultured eukaryote. Its description in RNAcentral is "partial 18S ribosomal RNA". It matches the Rfam family "Eukaryotic small subunit ribosomal RNA", at positions 592 to 976 of the family's 1831-position model. The record is from RNAcentral.
CAAUAGCGUAUAUUAAAGUUGUUGCAGUUAAAAAGCUCGUAGUUGGAUUUCUGGUAGGAGUGACCGUUCCGAACUUGAUUGUUCGUGUAUUGUGUUUUCUCCAGCCAUCCUUGUGGAGAACUUUUCUUGCAUUAAUUUGUAGGGAUUGGGACCCGCAUCGUUUACUGUGAAAAAAUUAGAGUGUUUAAAGCAGGCAAUCGCUUGAAUACAUUAGCAUGGAAUAAUAAGAUAGGACUUUGGUACUAUUUUGUUGGUUUGCAUACCAAAUUAAUGAUCAACAGGAACAGUUUGAGGAUAUUCGUAUGAACAUGUCAGAGGUGAAAUUCUUGGAUUUUGAUCAGACGAACUACUGCGAAAGCAUUUAUCAAGGAUGCUUUCAUUAA